UACGUAGGGUCCGAGCGUUGGCCGGAAUUACUGGGCGUAAAGAGCUCGUAGGUGGUUUGUCGCGUUGUUCGUGAAAACUCACAGCUCAACUGUGGGCGUGCGGGCGAUACGGGCAGACUUGAGUACUGCAGGGGAGACUGGAAUUCCUGGUGUAGCGGUGGAAUGCGCAGAUAUCAGGAGGAACACCGGUGGCGAAGGCGGGUCUCUGGGCAGUAACUGACGCUGAGGAGCGAAAGCGUGGGGAGCGAACAGG
This 253-nucleotide ribosomal RNA is filed under the name uncultured bacterium. RNAcentral describes it as "partial 16S ribosomal RNA". It matches the Rfam family "Bacterial small subunit ribosomal RNA", at positions 524 to 776 of the family's 1533-position model. The record is from RNAcentral.